Strongylocentrotus purpuratus (purple sea urchin) is the source of this 688-nucleotide long non-coding RNA. RefSeq lists it as uncharacterized. The transcript has 2 exons. The record is from RefSeq and is a predicted model, not a curated record. NCBI's taxonomy places the organism in Eukaryota, Metazoa, Echinodermata, Echinoidea, Camarodonta, Strongylocentrotidae.
GUUGGAAUAUACAUCGUGAAAGAAAGCGGACGUUCAAAAGAGUUUAUGGAAAGUACCUUGCAAUAAAGCUCAUUGUAAUACCAAGAGCCGUGUUACCCAGAUAUUAUGUUUUGCAUAAAUAGGCGUUACAACAAAGUACUUAAAAAUCGUGAAAGAGAACAGAUCCCCAACAGACCAUCAAUACAUUUACCCCUCUAUCUGAAUUUACAUAGAUUUGCGUUAUAAAAUAAUGAAAUAGUCAAUAUACUGUUUAAGCAUGUUUUGAGGGAAAUGUUUCUUCUCACUUCACGCAUGCAUGCUUAGGGUUGUAAUACAAAUCCUGCUACAAUUCUUUUUGUUUUCUUUUUUUUAAAUACCAAGUUAUAUAAUUUGCAUAUCAUGCGUCACAAAAUGAUAAACAAAUGAUGAAACACUACUGCCAAUUCGAAAUAGCACCAGGGAAUGUAUCCGGACCGGUCCCCAAGCAUUUUAGCCCCCUUAAUAAACAACACCACCUGGCACCAUUGAAAUAUUUUGGAAACCUCACUCCUACACAUACUUAACCCCUUUAUUCCACAAGUGGCAAAGCUUAGAAAAGGGAACUGAAACCAACAGCCCUUGGCGCGACAAUCUUAUUAAAAUAUUAUUAUUGCUUUGGUUAGAACAAUUAAUGAACAACCUCUAGCAAAAAAAAAAAAAAAAAAAAAAA